UGCAAGUCGAACGGAAACGAUGGGAGCUUGCUCCCAGGCGUCGAGUGGCGGACGGGUGAGUAAUACUUAGGAAUCUGCCCAUUAGUGGGGGACAACUCGGGGAAACUCGAGCUAAUACCGCAUACGCCCUACGGGGGAAAGCGGGGGAUCUUCGGACCUCGCGCUAAUGGAUGAGCCUAAGCCGGAUUAGCUAGUUGGUAGGGUAAAAGCCUACCAAGGCGACGAUCCGUAGCUGGUCUGAGAGGACGAUCAGCCACACUGGGACUGAGACACGGCCCAGACUCCUACGGGAGGCAGCAGUGGGGAAUAUUGGACAAUGGGCGCAAGCCUGAUCCAGCAAUGCCGCGUGUGUGAAGAAGGCCUGCGGGUUGUAAAGCACUUUCAGUAGAGAAGAAAAGCUUAGGGUUAAUAACCCUGAGUCUUGACGUUACCUACAGAAGAAGCUCCGGCUAACUCCGUGCCAGCAGCCGCGGUAAUACGGAGGGAGCGAGCGUUAAUCGGAAUUACUGGGCGUAAAGCGCGCGUAGGCGGCUUUGUAAGUCGGAUGUGAAAGCCCCGGGCUUAACCUGGGAAUUGCAUUCGAUACUGCUGAGCUAGAGUAUGGUAGAGGGAAGUGGAAUUUCCGGUGUAGCGGUGAAAUGCGUAGAUAUCGGAAGGAACACCAGUGGCGAAGGCGACUUCCUGGGCCAAUACUGACGCUGAGGUGCGAA
Molecule: ribosomal RNA, 710 nt
Filed under: uncultured Chromatiales bacterium
Lineage: Bacteria; Pseudomonadati; Pseudomonadota; Gammaproteobacteria; Chromatiales
Description: bacterial SSU rRNA
Rfam family: Bacterial small subunit ribosomal RNA
Source: RNAcentral